This 253-nucleotide ribosomal RNA is filed under the name uncultured bacterium. Its description in RNAcentral is "partial 16S ribosomal RNA". It matches the Rfam family "Bacterial small subunit ribosomal RNA", at positions 524 to 776 of the family's 1533-position model. The record is from RNAcentral.
UACGUAGGGUGCGAGCGUUAAUCGGAAUUACUGGGCGUAAAGCGUGCGCAGGCGGUUUUGUAAGCCAGAUGUGAAAGCCCCGGGCUUAACCUGGGAAUGGCAUUUGGGACUGCAAGGCUUGAGUGCGGCAGAGGAGACUGGAAUUCCUGGUGUAGCAGUGAAAUGCGUAGAUAUCAGGAGGAAUACCGAUGGCGAAGGCAGGUCUCUGGACAGUUCCUGACGCUGAGGCACGAAGGUCAGGGGAGCAAACGGG